Molecule: long non-coding RNA, 314 nt
Filed under: Ananas comosus (pineapple)
Lineage: Eukaryota; Viridiplantae; Streptophyta; Magnoliopsida; Poales; Bromeliaceae
Description: long non-coding RNA (ACOM_LNC014648)
Source: RNAcentral
AUAUAUUUAAUUUAUAUAUAAAAAUUAUAAUAAUAAUAUAUAUAGUAUAUUAAUUAUUAUAUAUUUAAUAUAUAGCCGAACUUUUGAUCCCGAAUUUUUAAUUGGUGAACGUAUAAUACCCGUAUAAAUCACGUAUCCGAAUAAUUACCGAAUCCGUUUUUUAGCCGUAUUUUUUAACAAAUUUAAAAAUUAAAAAACGAAUUUUAUUCGAAUUAUACCCGUACCGAAUUUUUGCUGAAUCCGAAUUAACUAACUAUGGAUCAAAGUAAGUAUAUAUGCAGUGAGCCAUCAGAUUUCAGGAAUAAAUAUGCAAC